RNAcentral lists this long non-coding RNA (2102 nucleotides) under Homo sapiens (human). RNAcentral describes it as "HSALNT0398133". The record is from RNAcentral. Lineage: Eukaryota; Metazoa; Chordata; Mammalia; Primates; Hominidae.
GCUGCUGUAGCCCCUACGUGGUGAGUAGAUCGUCUCCACAGAAAUCAGCGGAGGCUUCCACAGUCCCUGGUUGGAAUGGAACCGGCGGUGAGGAUGAGAGGCGCUGAAGACCAGAAGACCCAGGGCGUGAACGGGGCGUGUCAUCCCUGGAGUUUCAGUAGAAUUUCAGGCCUGUCUGCUUGAGCAGCAGAGGAGGAGUUUCUGUGUGCCUGUGAGAGACUGUGUGUGUGUGUGUGUGUGUGUGUGUGUGUGAGAUGAAUGAACAGGGUUGUGUACGUGUGUGUGCGUUAGACAAAUGAACAGUGUUGUGUACCUGUGUGAAUUGUCACUGUGACUCCAGGCUCUAGGCUCUGCAGAUUCCUCAGCCCUAUCGCCUCACAGACACUUGGGAUGUGCAGCAGGUAAAAGAGAGAAGCCAGAUUCAUGGAGGCGUGAAGGAUCCCAGCAAGAAAACACAGACUUGAUCUUGAGACGAGAUUUUUGAAAUUGGUUGCGGCCUCAAGGCAGGCUCUGAGAAGACUCGAUAAAGAGUUCUCAGGAAUAGGCAUCCCUCCUGGAUAUUUCCCCCUUGGAAGCGCCGAGGAGCCAGCUCUAUGUUUGUAACCAUAGCAUUUCUAAAGCUCCAGCCCCAGGAACCUGCUGUGAAUUAGAGACAGAUUCCACCCUAGGCAUCACUGAUCUUGGCCUCUCUUGUAUUGGGAAGGUCAACACUGUUCCAGUUUCUCUCCUACUCCCAUCUGGUUGUGCUCGGUGAAGUAGGUGAGCAGUGCUACCCUUCUGUUAAAAAAAAAAAAAAAAAAAAGAUCCUGAAAGAGGAAAGAAUUUUUGCUACACAUCUGAAAGCUAAAGUCCAGAUAUAUACUUAGAAGUGGAAUGGCUGGGUCAUAUGGUAACUCUUUUGAGGAACUGCCAGAUUAUUAUCGAAAGUAUCCCUUUACAUUCCCCCCAGCGUAAGAGGGUUCCAGUUUCUCCACAUUCUUAGCAACACCUGUUAUUACCUUUCUUUUUAUUAUUGUCAUCCUCAUGAGUGUGAAGUGGGUAUUGUGGUUUUGAUUUGAAUUUCUCUGAUGACUCAUGGUGUUGAGCAUUUUUUCCUUUGUUUAUUGGCCGUUUGUACAUCUUUGGAGAAAUGUCUAUUCAAAUUCUUUGCCCCCUUUUUAAUUGCUUUUUUAAAAGUUGUAACCUAAUUUUCUUCACUGACAAUGUAACUUGAAUGUUUUUAUUCCCUUAAACAGCUUCCUAAACUUAGCAUUAAAUGGUUGCUUAAUAUUUCAUUAUAUGGAUGCCCUGUUACAUAUUUAAUUAAUCAGCUGUUGCUGAGCUCAGAAUGGUGAGAAUGCCUGCUUCUACAUGCUGUUCUCCUUUCAUAGAGUGAUCAGCUCACUUCUUUCUAUUCCUCUGGGCCACAUGGGAACUUCAGUCUUUAUAAUUUCAGAGAUAGUAACAUCUGAGAACGUGGCAGCAUCCUCUACUGUGUGGAGCACUGAUCACUGCACUAUUUCAGACGGACUUGUAAAUGAUUGUGAUACUGAAAAGCUACAGGAGCAGACUCUUUAUGAUCAACUCUUUAAAUUCAAAAUAUGAUUUCUAGAGCUUUUUUAUCCCUUAAUGUGACCCUCUAGAGAGGCCCUGGAGUGUUUGAAUUUAUGAAGGAUUUCUUUGAGAUUCAUUGAUCAUUCCAUUCUGUUUUCCUUGAAGCAUCAUUUUCUUGGUCCCUCGGGUGGCUUUCAUUUGGCCUUUCUUGUAUGGAACCUCUCUGCCACAGGAUUGUACUGGAAUUUUUCAAAAGCCUCAGCAUGCCAAAGUCCCAUUUCUUUUUUCAUAUGCAGAUAUUUCCUGCAUGUUGGAAACAAUUGAUUUUUUAACCAAAAUGGCUUAUUUCUAAGGUAGGUGCAAUUCCUGAACUGGAGCAGGGAGUCCAGUCCUCAUAGGUGGAGAGUGUAGUGACAAGAGGAUUUAUCCAAGUGACUUAGGGAAAACCAGUAAAAGGAAAACUGUUGUAUAUCAGUAUUCAAAACUCAGAGCCUUGAUAUUCUAAUUUGAGACAACUCAAAGACUUUAGGACUUGGGAGAAAACAAGGCCUCCUCACCGUACUCCAAAU